This 1558-nucleotide long non-coding RNA is filed under the name Physcomitrium patens. RNAcentral describes it as "long non-coding RNA (PPAT_LNC000420)". The record is from RNAcentral. Lineage: Eukaryota; Viridiplantae; Streptophyta; Bryopsida; Funariales; Funariaceae.
UUCUUCGUAGAGUUUUGGGGAAGACUGUGGCAAUCGCUGCUGAAGUCAGUGUUGUAAUGGUGAAUCGGGAUUUUUAAAUGAAGUGGGUUUGAAUACUCUUGACUUUUUUGUGAAAUCGAGUUACGUCUGUGAUUGAAGGAUUAAAAGGGUGUCUAUAGGAUUGAGUAUGCGGAGUGAAUGAAAUUUAUUGGGUUAGUCUAACAAGACAGUCAGUGGAUACAAGAUCGUAAGUACAAAGCAGUAUUGAAGGUUAACAGUUUGGGUUGUACGGGGUUCUCUGUAACGUCUAGAGACCUACCGGCUGGGGCAAAAAGGACUUCGACAAGCAGUCGAAGAGCACCCGUAUAGAUUUACGGUACAUUGUUGCAGUCGUUUAUAUUCCAGCAGUCAAAAACUGAUAGACUGCUUGACUAUCGGUGAAUCUCCAUACUACCUUCUACAGCCAGACGUUCGGCGCGUUCUCGAGCAGGAAAGCACGUAAUACGACACCGGAGGAUGCACAAGUUCAGAGCGGGUGGAUGUCGUAUUGUAACACGAGUAUACCAUGAAAAUAUAAAGAAAGGGGACUUUUAUUAAUGUUCUAUUACCUCGAAUAUUGAGAGCAUCGACCAACUCUAGUGCAAAUACUGAGUGGCCAGGUUCAGUCACCCCGUUACAGUCAGCCGGGGCAUUCUGAAAUGCUCCAUUCGAUUCUAAUAACGGGAGUCAGCAGGAAGAGAAAGGACCAAUUCACACGACAGGUGAGCCUGGUUCGAAGAGCCAAUUGGAUCCAAUUUCAAGAAUCCAAUCUGGGUCCUCUUACCCAAUAUGAGACCUGAUUUGGUUGGGCAACCCAAUGCAGUCUAAUUACAGAAAAAUCCAUGUCUUACUACUGGCCUCAGCCAAUGUGACGCGAAGGACUAAUUUGAUCCAAUUACGGGGACAUCCGGGUCUUACUACUGGACUCUUAGCCAAUAUGAGACCUGAAUUGGUCGGGCGACGCAAUGUGGUCCUGAUUACGGGGUUUCGAUUCUGUUUCAAGCUGUCCUAUUCUCUGUGCCGUUUCAGGGAAUCUUAUUUUCGGUAAAAGGAUCUCUUAAAGGUAAAAACGGGGAAGAAAGCUCUGAUGGCGAGAGCCUAUUACGGAUCCAAGCUCUGACGGUAGGAGCCAAUUCCGGAUCUAAGACGGAAGAUUGAAGAAAUUCAGAGGAUAAGAUUAGGGGGGAGAAUAAGUUUUGGGGGAGUUUUGAAGGAUGGGAGGGAGCUAGCUUCAUGCUUCGGGCGGGGAAAGAAGACAGAGAAUUGGGUUUUUUUUCUUCAUAGGGUUUGGGAAGACUGAGGCAAUCGUUGCUGAAGUCAGUAUUGUAAUGGUGAAUCGGGAUUUUUAAUGAAGUGGGUUUGAUUACUCUUGACUGUUUUGUGAAAUCGAGUUACGUCGAUGAUGAAGAAUUAAAAGGGUGUCUAUAGGAUUGAGUAUGCGGAGUGAAUGAAAUUUAUUGGAUUAAUCUAACAAGACAAUCAGUAGAUACAAGAUCGUGAGUAUAAAGCGGUGUCGAAGAUUAGUAGUUUGGGUUGUUCG